AUUGAACGCUGGCGGCAGGCCUAACACAUGCAAGUCGAGCGAGCGGCGGACGGGUGAGUAAUGUCUGGGAAACUGCCUGAUGGAGGGGGAUAACUAAUGGAAACGGUAGCUACUACCGCAUACCAUCAGAUGUGCCCAGAUGGGAUUAGCUAGUAGGUGGGGUGAUGGCUCACCUGGGCGACGAUCCCUAGCUGGUCUGAGAGGAUGACCAGCCACCAUGGAACUGAGACACGGUCCCGCCCCCUACGGGAGGCAGCAGUGGGGUAUAUUGCAAAAUGGGCGCAAGCUUGAUGCAGCGAUGCCGCGUGUGUGAAGAUGGCCUUCGGGUUGUAAAGCACUUUCAGCGAGGAGGGGUUCUCGCAGAAAAGCACCGGCUAACUCCGUGCCAGCAGCCGCGGUAAUAC
RNAcentral lists this ribosomal RNA (404 nucleotides) under uncultured bacterium. RNAcentral describes it as "partial 16S ribosomal RNA". It matches the Rfam family "Bacterial small subunit ribosomal RNA", at positions 30 to 526 of the family's 1533-position model. The record is from RNAcentral.